Molecule: non-coding RNA, 148 nt
Filed under: Nomascus leucogenys (northern white-cheeked gibbon)
Lineage: Eukaryota; Metazoa; Chordata; Mammalia; Primates; Hylobatidae
Source: Rfam by way of RNAcentral
GCCGGGCGUGGUGGUGCAUGCCUGUAAUCCCAGCUACUCAGGAGGCUGAGGCAGGAGAAUCGCUUGAACCCAGGAGGCGGAGGUUGCAGUGAGCCGAGAUCGCACCACUGCACUCCAGCCUGGGUGACAGAGUGACACUUUGUCUCAA